Molecule: ribosomal RNA, 398 nt
Filed under: Nautilus pompilius
Lineage: Eukaryota; Metazoa; Mollusca; Cephalopoda; Nautilida; Nautilidae
Description: partial 16S ribosomal RNA
Rfam family: Bacterial large subunit ribosomal RNA
Source: RNAcentral
UGACCGUACUAAGGUAGCAUAAUAAUUUGCCUUUUAAUUGGAGGCUAGUAUGAAUGGCUUGACGUGAAAUAUACUGUCUCAACUAUAUUUAGUAGAAUUUAACUUUUAGGUGAAGAGGCCUAAAUUUUGUGGGAAGACAAGAAGACCCUAUUGAGCUUUAAAUAUUUAUGUUAGUGGGAGCCUAAGAUUUAUAUGAUGGUCAUUACUUCUAAGUAUGUUGGUUGGGGUGACCGAGGAGUAUAAAGUAACCUCCUUGUAAUGUAAAGAAUUUGUUAUCAACGAACCUGUAAUAUAGGUUAUUCGGUAGUUACCAUAGGGAUAACAGCGUAAUUCUUUUGAAGAGUUCAUAUCGAAGAAAGAGAUUGCGACCUCGAUGUUGGAUUAAGGUGUCCUAAGGG